Molecule: ribosomal RNA, 378 nt
Filed under: uncultured eukaryote
Lineage: Eukaryota
Description: partial 18S ribosomal RNA
Rfam family: Eukaryotic small subunit ribosomal RNA
Source: RNAcentral
CAAUAGCGUAUAUUUAAGUUGUUGCAGUUAAUAAGCUCGUAGUUGGAUUUCGGGUGUGAACGACCGGUCCGUCUUUGAUGUGUACUGGUUGGUUGCGCCUUAUUGUCGAGGACGUGGUUCUAGCUUUCAUUAGCCGGGACACGGAGUCGGCAGCGUUACUUUGAGAAAAUUAGAGUGUUCAAAGCAGGCUAUCGCUCUGAAUACUACAGCAUGGAAUAACACGAUAGGACUCCGAGCCUAUUCUGUUGGUCUUCGGGACCGGAGUAAUGAUUAAGAGGGACAGUCGGGGGCAUUCGUAUUCCGAUGUCAGAGGUGAAAUUCUUGGAUUAUCGGAAGACGAACAUCUGCGAAAGCAUUUGCCAAGGAUGUUUUCAUUAA